GCAGAUUAUAGUUACAUUUCAAUAGUUAUCUGAUUAGUAAAUUCUCAUUUCCAAGCACUACACUAUUAGAUGGCAUAUUAUUACAUUGCAAGUUGUAUAAAAUCUUAUUGGUUGUUCUAUAAGCAAGUAGCUUUCAUCAAAGGCCAUUUCAAGAAAAAAAGUUUUUAUCUACAUGUUUGCAUGCAUAUGCAUCAAAGAGAUGGGAUCUCACGGUAUGAGGUAGAACCUUCAGCAACACCCUUGCAAACAUCAUCUCUGCAGAGAGGACAUACCCCAUGUACUUCUUUGAGCCAUUUAUCAACACAUGACAUGUGAUAUUCAUGAGAACAUGGAAGAACUCUAAUUUCAUCCCCUUCCUCAUAGUCGACCAAGCAAAUGUGACACUGUUGUGCAUCACGCAUCCCACUCUCAGUUUCAAAUGGCUUUUUAUGAUUCUUGAGGGGAAACGAAUUUACAACAGCAUCAGGAGCAGGAAGAGUGAGCAUAGACUGCGAAAGAGACAUGCGAUGUUGAUGAAUUUCCUCAAGCACCUCAAAAAGUGCAUCUGCAAGCAUGAAUAUUUGUGAAAUGUUUGCACGGCUACUGGACUCCUCAUCGGUGAAUGAGGAUCCACAUGAACAUGUACCGCGUGGAUGACGCCUUCUUGAACACAAAGAACCUUGCCAGCCUAGCUCAUCAUGGACAUCAUGAAAUCCUUCUGGCAUCUCAAAUCUUGAUUGCCGUUGUCGUCCACUUCUACGAUCACUCCUAGUGCCAGGGUAUCUAGACUCACGACCACUGCCAUCAUAAUGAAGAUCACCACUAAAAU
Molecule: unclassified non-coding RNA, 808 nt
Filed under: Hevea brasiliensis (rubber tree)
Lineage: Eukaryota; Viridiplantae; Streptophyta; Magnoliopsida; Malpighiales; Euphorbiaceae
Source: RNAcentral